GAUGAACGCUGGCGGCGUGCCUAAUACAUGCAAGUCGAGCGAACAGACGAGGAGCUUGCUCCUCUGACGUUAGCGGCGGACGGGUGAGUAACACGUGGAUAACCUACCUAUAAGACUGGGAUAACUUCGGGAAACCGGAGCUAAUACCGGAUAAUAUAUUGAACCGCAUGGUUCAAUAGUGAAAGACGGUUUUGCUGUCACUAAUAGAUGGAUCCGCGCCGCAUUAGCUAGUUGGUAAGGUAACGGCUUACCAAGGCAACGAUGCGUAGCCGACCUGAGAGGGUGGUCGGCCACACUGGAACUGAGACACGGUCCAGACUCCUACGCGAGGCAGCAGUAGGGAAUCUUCCGCAAUGGGCGAAAGCGUGACGGAGCAACGCCGCGUGAGUGAUGAAGGUCUUCGGAUCGGAAAACUCUGUUAUUAGGGAAGAACAAAUGUGUAAGUAACUAUGCACGUCUUGACGGUACCUAAUCAGAAAGCCACGGCUAACUACGUG
This 497-nucleotide ribosomal RNA is filed under the name uncultured bacterium. RNAcentral's name for it is "partial 16S ribosomal RNA". It matches the Rfam family "Bacterial small subunit ribosomal RNA", at positions 28 to 507 of the family's 1533-position model. The record is from RNAcentral.